CGCGCCCUCCUCUCUGGGGGCUCGUCGCCCCUCUCUAGCAGUUUUUGCUUCUGCAGGCAAAUUCCAGCCUAGAAAAGGCUCCCUGAGUCUGGAUCCUUAGGCUGCUGUGGCUCCCUCGCCCGGAUGGCCGAGCCCCUUCCGGGACCACCGCCACCCCCUCUGGGCAGUCCGGUCCCGCCCCUCCCCGCCCCCUCCCCGCCCCCUUCGCGCUUCUGGCUGCGCCGCUAUGCGGGCACUUACGGCCGCUGCCGAAUCCGUCCUGGACUGUGGGGAGCCUGGGCUCAGAGGCCGGCUCUGCGCCCGCAUGGGCGGCUGGGUCCCCCCUGUCGCUUCCAGGCCGGGACAAGGCCAAGGUGUCCUGCAGGGCCGCGGGCCGCGGUGACUCCUAGGUGUUCACGCGGAUUCGGAUACUGACCCGGGGUCUGGAGAGCCCCCAGGUGCCUGGGCUCCCAGGGGGCCAGGGCAGCCCUGUUGCUGGUGCCAUCCAGAUGGGACGUGGCUGCCCAGGAAUGUCAUCAGGCCUUUCCCAUCCUGACGGGGAGCCUCUGCGUGCGGAAGGAAGACCUGGGGGUUCCCAGCAUCACCCAUGGACGGGACACUCUCUCCCAGGGCUGAGAAGCCGCGGGUUUCUGAAGUUGGACCCCUGGGCUCAGGGCGGCUGUGGGCAUGGGAGGCCGGAUGGAUGACAGCGUCCAUUCGCCCAUGGCUUUUGCUUCUCCUUCUCCCUCUGUGGCUGUUGCGACCUCUGACCUUCGCUACUUAACGGCUUCCUGGAGUGCAAGGAUCGCCCUCGUGUCCAGAGGGGCUAUUGCUGGAACUGACCUUCCAGAAGCAGCCACUGGGCAGUGACCUUUAACCGGGUUUUAAGGGGGGCGUCUGUUGCCCGUUUGAGGGCCUUCCAUCCAGUUGCUUUAGUCGGUGCCCUUCUCUGGCGGGCAUGGGGCGGACCGGAUCGGCAUUUGUCCCGGUGAACAGUGUCAUUCCUGCAGGAGGCUGCUCAGGCCAUGUCUCUGUGAACCGGCCAGAAGCAAGUUCAUUCCACAGAGGUAAGCGCUGCUCUCGGACCUCUUCACGGGUGACGCCACGGCACUGCACGGGGAGACGAAUCCCAGGGUGUCUGGGGAGCGCACCCGCACGUACACACAGCUCCCAUCGCGAAGUCCCCUGCAUUCUGAACAGCCGGCUCCCCCGGGACCUGCGGGGCCGCCGUGCUGCUAACGGGGACAGCUUUUCUCAGGCAUUGCCGCCCUCCCUCACCCUGGGGAUCAGCCCCACCCGGGACCCCCUGGGCUCUCCUGGCGGGGGGCUCCCCAGAGGUCUCCAUGGUGGCACACACAGCCCUGCAUCCCGCAGGCUCGCCACGCCCACCCAAAGAGCAUCCUUCUCCCGGUAGUUCCAACGAAGGCCACGCACACUAAUCGCCCUCCCAAACAUCACCAGGACCCCUGCCUGGAAGCAGUCAGCUGGGAAGGGAAGUUGCACGUGAGAAGGCGAUUCAAUGCUCCUUUUAAUAAAAUUCAUUCAAAAUGACUUACGCACCCACAGAUCCUCCUCUUUCCGCUAAAUCCCAGGAUGGACCAGUUCCUAAAACCAAAUUCAACUUUCCAAGUCUCUAAGAAAGCGGCCACGUGGAGCACUGGCUCACAGAGGACACGCACCGAAUGCAACUUACCCAAAUCUUCCCGGACCCAGACACAUUCUCCAGGCUCCUGAAACAUCGGAGACCCCGGGUGAUUCUUAAGAAGGAAAAAAAUAAAUAAACGAGGAAAUGGAUUUGAAGAGGGAAGACCUGUGACAACACGGAAUCUCCCACCAAACACCAAUGGCCGGCACUCCCAGAUGUAUAGGAAGGUUUGAAAAAAACAAAACAAACAAACAAACAAAAAACACCUAGCAGCUUCCAGUCAUAAAUGAAAAACAAUCCCAGCACUAGUUCCAUGAAUAAAUCGAACAGUUUUAAUUCGGAAA
Long non-coding RNA from Pipistrellus kuhlii (Kuhl's pipistrelle), 1968 nucleotides. RefSeq lists it as uncharacterized. Lineage: Eukaryota; Metazoa; Chordata; Mammalia; Chiroptera; Vespertilionidae. The transcript is spliced from 2 exons. The record is from RefSeq and is a predicted model, not a curated record.